Long non-coding RNA from Odocoileus virginianus texanus, 1437 nucleotides. RefSeq lists it as uncharacterized. Lineage: Eukaryota; Metazoa; Chordata; Mammalia; Artiodactyla; Cervidae. The record is from RefSeq and is a predicted model, not a curated record.
GCCUGGCUGCGCGUCCACCAUCUUGGCCAAGGUUCUCGUUACCCGGCAGCCCAAGUCGCUCAUCCUUGGUUCUGAGGUGGUGGACGCUGCCGCGUGUGUUGUCCGAGGAUGACAGGGGAGAACUAGGCUAUUAGCAAGCCACCUGUCCGGAGGCGAUCUGUACUGGCCGCCUCCAGAUGAUGCCAGGGCCACCAUCUUGGCAAAGGAAAAGACGCUCACCGCCGGAGGAAAGAAGGGAACCAAGACCUUUGCCAGCGUAGAACCUUCAGCUAGGAGAAUUUUUAUGAAGGGCACUGAGCAAGCCAGUUGCUAACAAAACCCCUUCUGUUAGCAACAUUUCUUCUGAUCCAGAAGAAAUGACUUUUCUUUUCCUUGGCAGUAGUCAACGGGAGGGAAGCCCUUGUCUUGGGUGCUCACGGUGGCCUCUAAGUGAGAAUUGACUCCAAGAAUGCUGCUUUGCCUACUUCCCAGGUUUCUUACCUUCCAAGUUCAAAUACUAGAAUCACAUGUCUUUACCCAAUGGGUCCCUAAACAACCAACAGCUUCAUGGAAAGAAAGUCAAGACCCAAACCUACAGUGUUACCUUACUAUGUUUCAAAAAUAGUGCAAUCUCAGAGGAGUGGCAACUCAUGAGUGCUGGAGCCAGGUGCACCUGCUUGGGGAGCUGAUUGCUAAGUUUUCAGGAAUUCUAGUUCUGUGAUGCUUCAGCUUAAAGACCAAAAUCACAAAAAAGAAGAGGGAAGUUGAGUGCAGCCUGGUCCUAAUCUCAAGAUUGAGGCAUCCCAUGUGACUCUAUGAAGAUUCUAAUCAUAGGCAUUCAAGAGGCUAAGCCCAACCCUAGGCAUUCAACAAGUUCUUCUGAUAUUAACCAUUCUUAAAAGCAUUAGGAUUUAAUCUAGCAGAGGAGUGCUUGAUCCUAUUACAGGCUUCUUCCUGCAGGAACAAGGUACUUAAAAUCACCUGGAGAGGAAAUUUCUGACAGUCUUCUCAAGAUGAAUGAAAUGUGUUUUCCUUCUUUCCCAUCUCUAUAAUUUGGGUGAAUAUUAAAAGAGAUGUUUAUAAAGGGGUAGGCCAGUUGUUACCUUCCUCCUAGUUGUGCAAUAUGACCUACACUGUCAGGUACCUGGCUGAGACAAAUGGGCUCAAAGACUAGGGGACCUGGCUCCUACAACCCAGUCUUGUGGGGAUCAUAUCCCUUACUCACGGCCCUCACAACUGCCUGCCGUUCGCUGUCCUUUAUAAGCACCUCACUGUUGGAAUCAGAACUGAUCUGAGCCAGAAAUCUCAAAUCUAUUUGGAGAUUGUGUCACAUUUACUGUUCAGUAGGGACACUCUCCCCCGCAGUGAGCCACACUUCUUACCAGGCACUUCUCCGAGACUGAGACUGUAGCAUCUGCCAUUUACUCCAUUAACUAGCAAGUCUUAUAAUGUUGGUUU